Molecule: ribosomal RNA, 109 nt
Filed under: uncultured bacterium
Lineage: Bacteria
Description: partial 16S ribosomal RNA
Rfam family: Bacterial small subunit ribosomal RNA
Source: RNAcentral
CCCGGGCCUUGUACACACCGCCCGUCACACCACGAAAGUUGGUAACACCCGAAGCCAGUGGCCCAACCCUCGGGAGGGAGCUGUCGAAGGUGGGAUCAGCGAUUGGGUG